UGGGAUGACGUCAAUCAUCAUGCCCUUAUGACCUGGGCUACACACGUGCUACAAUGGUUGGUACAACGAGUUGCGAGUCGGUGACGGCGAGCUAAUACUCUUAAAGCCAAUCUCAGUUCGGAUUGUAGGCUGCAACUCGCCUACAUGAAGUCGGAAUCGCUAGUAAUCGCGGACUCAGCACGCCGCGGUGAAUACGUUCCCGGGCCUU
This 208-nucleotide ribosomal RNA is filed under the name uncultured Streptococcus sp. Its description in RNAcentral is "partial 16S ribosomal RNA". It matches the Rfam family "Bacterial small subunit ribosomal RNA", at positions 1175 to 1382 of the family's 1533-position model. Lineage: Bacteria; Bacillati; Bacillota; Bacilli; Lactobacillales; Streptococcaceae. The record is from RNAcentral.